Gossypium arboreum is the source of this 1152-nucleotide long non-coding RNA. RefSeq lists it as uncharacterized. NCBI's taxonomy places the organism in Eukaryota, Viridiplantae, Streptophyta, Magnoliopsida, Malvales, Malvaceae. The transcript is spliced from 5 exons. The record is from RefSeq and is a predicted model, not a curated record.
UAUAUAUAUAUAUAAAUAAUUAAGAAAUGGAUGAAAACCAAAACAUUACAUAAAGGAAGGGGAGAACUGAAGAACACAUAUACAUAGAACCAAAAACAAAAAGAACAUGGGUUCUGAAAAGCAAGGGUUUAUAUGGUUAUCAGCGCUUUUGUUUCUGAAUAUCUUUGUCUUAUCCACAGCCGAUGUCCACUAUUACGAGUUUUCUUUGCAAGAAUCCACGUUCACAAAGCUGUGUAGCACGAAGAUCAUCUUGACCGUCAAUGGCAGCUUUCCAGGGCCUGAGAUUCGGGUCCGCAGAGGGGACACAGUUGUUGUCAAUGUCCACAAUCAAGCAAACUAUGCUGUUUCCCUCGACUGGGAGGGCGUUGAGGAUACAAUUGAUGGUUCGAAUAAUACAAUUCAGCCAGGGAAAACUUCACUUACAAUAUAGAGUUAGGGGAUGAAAUAGGAACUCUGAGGUGGCACGCUACCAGUGCUUGGGCUGCUGCAACCGUCCACGGUGCCUUUGUCAUUUUUCCAGUAGCCAAUAAAGACUAUCCUUUCCCUGCACCUACUUCUGAUCAAACAAUUAUACUUGGGGAAUGGUUCAGGGAAGAGUUAACGGAAGCUAAUCAAACCAUAGCUCCUGGCUCAGCAGAUGCUUACACUAUCAAUGGCUAUCCAGGAGAAACAUAUGGAUGCAGCAACGAUACAACUUUUGAGAUGCAAGUAGAUUACCAGGGCCUUUACCUUGUUCGCGUGAUAAAUGCUGUUGCCAAUGAAACAAUGCUGUUUGACAUCGAAAGACACAGAUUGACGAUUGUCGGACAAAAUGGGACCUAUACCAAUCGUUCCUUUACAAGUUCUUUAACCCUAGCCCCAGGGCAAGUUAUUGACGUCUUGUUGAGUCCAAACCAAAAUGUUGGCCAUUAUUACAUCACUGCUCGAUCUUCCUCCGGCAGACAUAUUACCAAUGGAAUUCUGCGAUAUACCACCACUACCACUAGUUUUUAAUAUAGGUAAAUAGUUUCCGUUGCUAAGAAAUAAUAAUAAGGUUAAUGUUGAAAUAAGAGAUUAAAUAUAAUGUGUGUAUGUUCUUUUGUUGUGAUCGUUGUUGGUUGUUUGAACGAUGAGUUUUCAAUGUUGUAGUGGGAAGAUGUUGUUUAACUAAAA